CCUACGGGUGGCUGCAGUGAGGAAUAUUGGUCAAUGGACGAGAGUCUGAACCAGCCAAGUAGCGUGAAGGAUGACUGCCCUACGGGUUGUAAACUUCUUUUAUAUGGGAAUAAAAUUUUCCACGUGUCGGAUUUUGUAUGUACCCUAUGAAUAAGGCUUGGCUAACUCCGUUCCAGCAGCCGCGGUAAUACGGAGGAUCCGAGCGUUAUCCGGGUUUAUUGGGUUUAAAGGGAGCGUAGGUGGAGUGUUAAGUCAGUUGUGAAAGUUUGCGGCUCAACCGUAAAAUUGCAGUUGAAACUGGCAGUCUUGAGUACAGUAGAGGUGGGCGGAAUUCGUGGUGUAGCGGUGAAAUGCUUAGAUAUCACGAAGAACUCCGAUUGCGAAGGCAGUUCACUGGACUGCAACUGACACUGAGGCUCGAAAGUGUGGGUAUCAAACAGGAUUAGAUACCCCUGUAGUC
RNAcentral lists this ribosomal RNA (460 nucleotides) under uncultured bacterium. RNAcentral describes it as "partial 16S ribosomal RNA". It matches the Rfam family "Bacterial small subunit ribosomal RNA", at positions 338 to 795 of the family's 1533-position model. The record is from RNAcentral.